RNAcentral lists this ribosomal RNA (430 nucleotides) under uncultured Achromobacter sp. RNAcentral describes it as "partial 16S ribosomal RNA". It matches the Rfam family "Bacterial small subunit ribosomal RNA", at positions 354 to 776 of the family's 1533-position model. RNAcentral also lists the same sequence under 1 other name. Lineage: Bacteria; Pseudomonadati; Pseudomonadota; Betaproteobacteria; Burkholderiales; Alcaligenaceae. The record is from RNAcentral.
GUGGGGAAUAUUGCACAAUGGGCGCAAGCCUGAUGCAGCCAUGCCGCGUGUAUGAAGAAGGCCUUCGGGUUGUAAAGUACUUUCAGCGAGGAGGAAGGCAUUGUGGUUAAUAACCACAGUGAUUGACGUUACUCGCAGAAGAAGCACCGGCUAACUCCGUGCCAGCAGCCGCGGUAAUACGGAGGGUGCAAGCGUUAAUCGGAAUUACUGGGCGUAAAGCGCACGCAGGCGGUCUGUCAAGUCGGAUGUGAAAUCCCCGGGCUCAACCUGGGAACUGCAUUCGAAACUGGCAGGCUAGAGUCUUGUAGAGGGGGGUAGAAUUCCAGGUGUAGCGGUGAAAUGCGUAGAGAUCUGGAGGAAUACCGGUGGCGAAGGCGGCCCCCUGGACAAAGACUGACGCUCAGGUGCGAAAGCGUGGGGAGCAAACAGG